AAUAUUGGACAAUGGGGGGAACCCUGAUCCAGCCACGCCGCGUGUGUGAAGAAGGUCUUCGGAUGUUAAAGCACUUUAAGUAGGGAGGAAGAGUUGUAGGCUAAUACCUUGCAAUUUUGACGUUACCAACAGAAUAAGCACCGGCUAACUCUGUGCCAGCAGCCGCGGUAAUACAGAGGGUGCAAGCGUUAAUCGGAAUUACUGGGGGUAAAGCGCGCGUAGGUGGUUCAGUAAGAUGGGUGUGAAAUCCCCGGGCUUAACCUGGGAACUGCUUUCAUAACUGCUGAGCUAGAGUACGGUAGAGGGUAGUGGAAUUUCCUGUGUAGCGGUGAAAUGCGUAGAUAUAGGAAGGAACACCAGUGGCGAAGGCGACUACCUGGACUGAUACUGACGCUGAGGUGCGAAAGCGUGGGGAGCAAACA
Molecule: ribosomal RNA, 422 nt
Filed under: uncultured bacterium
Lineage: Bacteria
Description: partial 16S ribosomal RNA
Rfam family: Bacterial small subunit ribosomal RNA
Source: RNAcentral